This 478-nucleotide ribosomal RNA is filed under the name uncultured bacterium. RNAcentral's name for it is "partial 16S ribosomal RNA". It matches the Rfam family "Bacterial small subunit ribosomal RNA", at positions 28 to 523 of the family's 1533-position model. The record is from RNAcentral.
GACGAACGCUGGCGGCGUGCUUAACACAUGCAAGUCGAACGGUAAGGCCCUUCGGGGUACACGAGUGGCGAGCGGGUGAGUAACACGUGGGUGAUCUGCCCUGCACUUCGGGAUAAGCCUGGGAAACUGGGUCUAAUACCGGAUAGGACCACUGCCUGCAUGGGUGGUGGUGGAAAGCUUUUGCGGUGUGGGAUGGGCCCGCGGCCUAGCAGCUUGUUGGUGGGGUGAUGGCCUACCAAGGCGACGACGGGUAGCCGGCCUGAGAGGGUGACCGGCCACACUGGGACUGAGAUACGGCCCAGACUCCUACGGGAGGCAGCAGUGGGGAAUAUUGCACAAUGGGCGCAAGCCUGAUGCAGCGACGCCGCGUGAGGGAUGACGGCCUUCGGGUUGUAAACCUCUUUCAGCACCGACGAAGCGCAAGUGACGGUAGGUGCAGAAGAAGGACCGGCCAACUACGUGCCAGCCGCCGCCGUAA